GGUGGGUUGGCGUAAUGGCAACGCGUCAGUUUCCGGUUCCACACAGCUGAAGAUUCCGGGUUCGAGUCCCGGGCCUGUCG
Non-coding RNA from Termitomyces sp. T32_za158, 80 nucleotides. NCBI's taxonomy places the organism in Eukaryota, Fungi, Basidiomycota, Agaricomycetes, Agaricales, Lyophyllaceae. The record is from the annotation of a GenBank genome assembly.